This 427-nucleotide ribosomal RNA is filed under the name uncultured bacterium. Its description in RNAcentral is "bacterial SSU rRNA". It matches the Rfam family "Bacterial small subunit ribosomal RNA", at positions 355 to 774 of the family's 1533-position model. The record is from RNAcentral.
UGGGGAAUAUUGGACAAUGGGCGAAAGCCUGAUCCAGCCAUGCCGCGUGUGUGAAGAAGGUCUUCGGAUUGUAAAGCACUUUAAGUUGGGAGGAAGGGCAGUUACCUAAUACGUGAUUGUUUUGACGUUACCGACAGAAUAAGCACCGGCUAACUACGUGCCAGCAGCCGCGGUAAUACGUAGGGUGCGAGCGUUAAUCGGAAUUACUGGGCGUAAAGCGUGCGCAGGCGGUUAUGUAAGACAGAUGUGAAAUCCCCGGGCUCAACCUGGGAACUGCAUUCAAAACUGACUGACUAGAGUAUGGUAGAGGGUGGUGGAAUUUCCUGUGUGGCGGUGAAAUGCGUAGAUAUAGGAAGGAACACCAGUGGCGAAGGCGACCACCUGGACUGAUACUGACACUGAGGUGCGAAAGCGUGGGGAGCAAACA